Molecule: ribosomal RNA, 288 nt
Filed under: Aurantiochytrium limacinum
Lineage: Eukaryota; Bigyra; Thraustochytrida; Thraustochytriidae
Description: partial Eukaryotic large subunit ribosomal RNA
Rfam family: Eukaryotic large subunit ribosomal RNA
Source: RNAcentral
GACUACCCGCUGAACUUAAGCAUAUCACUAAGCGGAGGAGAAGAAACUAACCAGGAUUCCCUCAGUAACGGCGAGUGAAGAGGGAAGAGCCCAGCGCCGAAUCCCCGCCCCGCGGUGGGGCGCGGGAGGUGUGGCGUACGGAAGCCCCCAUCCCCGGCGCCGCUCUCGGGGGGCCCAAGUCCUUCUGAUCGAGGCCCAGCCCGCGGACGGUGUGAGGCCGGUAGCGGCCCCCGGCGCGCCGGGCCCGGGUCUUCCCGGAGUCGGGUUGCUUGGGAAUGCAGCCCAAAG